RNAcentral lists this ribosomal RNA (464 nucleotides) under uncultured bacterium. Its description in RNAcentral is "bacterial SSU rRNA". It matches the Rfam family "Bacterial small subunit ribosomal RNA", at positions 338 to 795 of the family's 1533-position model. The record is from RNAcentral.
CCUACGGGUUGCAGCAGUGGGGAAUAUUGCACAAUGGGCGCAAGCCUGAUGCAGCCAUGCCGCGUGUAUGAAGAAGGCCUUCGGGUUGUAAAGUACUUUCAGCGAGGAGGAAGGCGUUAAGGUUAAUAACCUUAGCGAUUGACGUUACUCGCAGAAGAAGCACCGGCUAACUCCGUGCCAGCAGCCGCGGUAGUACGGAGGGUGCAAGCGUUAAUCGGAAUUACUGGGCGUAAAGCGCACGCAGGCGGUCUGUCAAGUCGGAUGUGAAUCCCCGGGCUCAACCUGGGAACUGCAUUCGAAACUGGCAGGCUAGAGUCUUGUAGAGGGGGGUAGAAUUCCAGGUGUAGCGGUGAAAUGCGUAGAGAUCUGGAAGAAUAUCGGUGGCGAAGGCGGCCCCCUGGACAAAGACUGACGCUCAGGUGCGAAAGCGUGGGGAGCAAACAGGAUUAGAUACCCGUGUAGUC